AGAUAACUUGCUUUAUAUAGGUUUCUUCGGGUUCAAAAGCUAAUGCACUUUACCAACAUAAAAGUUCUUUAUGAAGCUAGAAGAGAAAGUGCAUGCCAAAGAGGAAGAAGCGCAUCAGCUCCAAGCAAGAACCCAGGAAAAGAAAGAAGCAGAGAUCAAAUAGCUACGGAGAAAUCUCAAUUUCAAAGCAACUCCCAUGCCUGCCUUCUACGGUGAACCUGGUCGCCGCUUAGACAAAACAAGG
This is a long non-coding RNA of Capsicum annuum, 244 nucleotides long. RefSeq lists it as uncharacterized. The record is from RefSeq and is a predicted model, not a curated record. The transcript has 3 exons. Lineage: Eukaryota; Viridiplantae; Streptophyta; Magnoliopsida; Solanales; Solanaceae.